GGGGAUAUAGCUCAGUGGCACAAGCGUCUGCCUGGCAAGCACAGGAUCCGAGUUUGAUCCCUGGUACCCCCA
This 72-nucleotide transfer RNA is filed under the name Cavia porcellus (domestic guinea pig). It matches the Rfam family "tRNA". From Rfam's summary of the family: Transfer RNA (tRNA) molecules are approximately 80 nucleotides in length. Their secondary structure includes four short double-helical elements and three loops (D, anti-codon, and T loops). Further hydrogen bonds mediate the characteristic L-shaped molecular structure. tRNAs have two regions of fundamental functional importance: the anti-codon, which is responsible for specific mRNA codon recognition, and the 3' end, to which the tRNAs corresponding amino acid is attached (by aminoacyl-tRNA synthetases). tRNAs cope with the degeneracy of the genetic code in two manners: having more than one tRNA (with a specific anti-codon) for a particular amino acid; and 'wobble' base-pairing, i.e. permitting non-standard base-pairing at the 3rd anti-codon position. Lineage: Eukaryota; Metazoa; Chordata; Mammalia; Rodentia; Caviidae. The record is from Rfam by way of RNAcentral.